This 446-nucleotide long non-coding RNA is filed under the name Linum usitatissimum (flax). RNAcentral's name for it is "long non-coding RNA (LUSI_LNC001595)". The record is from RNAcentral. Lineage: Eukaryota; Viridiplantae; Streptophyta; Magnoliopsida; Malpighiales; Linaceae.
CUUAUUUAAUGGAGCAUCCACCUCUAGCAGUAUUUGUUAAUGGUAUGCUGGACUUUCACUUCUCAAACCCAUUGCUUGCUUGGGGUGGUUAGUGCUGGUGAUGCUUGUUGCUGUGGCUCUUCUGUAUGUUGACUCUGAUUCCAAGUUAUGUUCACCUGUUGAAUGGAUUCUAGAAUGGUAAUAGAAAUGGUUGCAUCAUUGAUGUAAAUGGAACCUUGCGGACAACAUUACACCCAUGGAAGAAUUGUUGUGAUAACUAUCUAAUCAAUGACGUUCCGUUGGAUGUUGAUUUCCAACUUGAUGCUUUUAGAGCGAUGCGGUUUUGCAGAGCUGAAAGUUGUGAUUUAUGACCUAAUGAUGUAUCAUAUAUCUCGUGAAUUGCUUGCUUCCAUUGAGAAAAUACUUAUGUCCUGUUCAACUUUUGCGUUAUUUGCUUCAGAUGUAUU